UGAAGUUGAAGUCCAAUCAACUUGCAACUUAGUACACAUGUUCCCCAUGAUAUGAUCUUUCUAAUUUUAAUGCCAAAUUAAAGUUUUGACCCCAAUUUCACGGUCCACUGAACAAAGAAAAUGAUAGUGCAAUGUUCAGGUUAAAGUUUUGGUUAAAGUUUUUGGUCAAGGUAGUUUUUGAUGAAGUUGAAAUCACAUCAACUUGACACUUAGUACACAUGUUCCCUAUGAUAUGAUCUUUCUAAUUUUAAUUCCAAAUUAAAGUUUUGACCCCAAUAUCAUGGUCCACUGAACAUGGAAAAUGAUAGUGCGAG
Molecule: long non-coding RNA, 314 nt
Filed under: Mytilus galloprovincialis (Mediterranean mussel)
Lineage: Eukaryota; Metazoa; Mollusca; Bivalvia; Mytilida; Mytilidae
Source: RNAcentral